CACAUACAAUAAGCGGAGGAAAAGAAACCAACAGGGAUUGCUCUAGUAACGGCGAGUGAAGCAGCAAUAGCUCAAAUUUGAAAUCUGGCGUCUUCGACGUCCGAGUUGUAAUUUGUAGAGGAUGCUUCUGAGUAACCACCGACCUAAGUUCCUUGGAACAGGACGUCAUAGAGGGUGAGAAUCCCGUAUGCGGUCGGAAAGGUGCUCUAUACGUAGCUCCUUCGACGAGUCGAGUUGUUUGGGAAUGCAGCUCUAAAUGGGAGGUAAAUUUCUUCUAAAGCUAAAUAUUGGCCAGAGACCGAUAGCGCACAAGUAGAGUGAUCGAAAGAUGAAAAGCACUUUGGAAAGAGAGUUAAAAAGCACGUGAAAUUGUUAAAAGGGAAGGGAUUGCAACCAGACUUGCUCGCGGUGUUCCGCCGGUCUUCUGACCGGUCUACUCGCCGCGUUGCAGGCCAGCAUCGUCUGGUGCCGCUGGAUAAGACUUGAGGAAUGUAGCUCCCUCGGGAGUGUUAUAGCCUCUUGUGAUGCAGCGAGCGCCGGGCGAGGUCCGCGCUUCGGCUAGGAUGCUGGCGUAAUGGUCGUAAUCCGCCCGUCUUGAAACACGGACCAAGGAGUCUAACAUCUAUGCGAGUGUUCGGGUGUCAAACCCCUACGCGUAAUGAAAGUGAACGGAGGUGAGAACCGCAAGGUGCAUCAUCGACCGAUCCUGAUGUCUUCGGAUGGAUUUGAGUAAGAGCAUAGCUGUUGGGACCCGAAAGAUGGUGAACUAUGCCUGAAUAGGGUGAAGCCAGAGGAAACUCUGGUGGAGGCUCGCAGCGGUUCUGACGUGCAAAUCGAUCGUCAAAUUUGGGUAUAGGUGCGAAAGACUAAUCGA
RNAcentral lists this ribosomal RNA (874 nucleotides) under Cladosporium sp. (2) P2. Its description in RNAcentral is "eukaryotic LSU rRNA". It matches the Rfam family "Eukaryotic large subunit ribosomal RNA", at positions 39 to 938 of the family's 3401-position model. The record is from RNAcentral. Lineage: Eukaryota; Fungi; Ascomycota; Dothideomycetes; Cladosporiales; Cladosporiaceae.